UGGGGAAUUUUGGACAAUGGGCGAAAGCCUGAUCCAGCAAUGCCGCGUGUGUGAAGAAGGCCUUCGGGUUGUAAAGCACUUUUGUCCGGAAAGAAAUCCUUGGCUCUAAUACAGUCGGGGGAUGACGGUACCGGAAGAAUAAGCACCGGCUAACUACGUGCCAGCAGCCGCGGUAAUACGUAGGGUGCAAGCGUUAAUCGGAAUUACUGGGCGUAAAGCGUGCGCAGGCGGUUUGCUAAGACCGAUGUGAAAUCCCCGGGGCUCAACCUGGGAACUGCAUUGGUGACUGGCAGGCUAGAGUAUGGCAGAGGGGGGUUAGAAUUCCACGUGUAGCAGUGAAAUGCGUAGAGAUGUGGAGGAAUACCGAUGGCGAAGGCAGCCCCCUGGGCCAAUACUGACGCUCAUGCACGAAAGCGUGGGGAGCAAACAGGAUUAGAUACCCUGGUAGUCCACGCCCUAAACGAUGUCAACUAGUUG
This 477-nucleotide ribosomal RNA is filed under the name uncultured bacterium. Its description in RNAcentral is "partial 16S ribosomal RNA". It matches the Rfam family "Bacterial small subunit ribosomal RNA", at positions 355 to 822 of the family's 1533-position model. The record is from RNAcentral.